RNAcentral lists this ribosomal RNA (771 nucleotides) under uncultured bacterium. RNAcentral's name for it is "bacterial SSU rRNA". It matches the Rfam family "Bacterial small subunit ribosomal RNA", at positions 8 to 796 of the family's 1533-position model. The record is from RNAcentral.
AGAGUUUGAUCAUGGCUCAGGACGAACGCUGGCGGCGUGCUUAACACAUGCAAGUCGAACGGAAAGGCCCUUCGGGGUGCUCGAGUGGCGAACGGGUGAGUAACACGUGGGUGAUCUGCCCUGCACUUUGGGAUAAGCCUGGGAAACUGGGUCUAAUACCGAAUAGGACUGCGCUCUUCAUGGGGUGUGGUGGAAAGCUUUUGCGGUGUGGGAUGGGCCCGCGGCCUAUCAGCUUGUUGGUGGGGUAAUGGCCUACCAAGGCGACGACGGGUAGCCGGCCUGAGAGGGUGACCGGCCACACUGGGACUGAGAUACGGCCCAGACUCCUACGGGAGGCAGCAGUGGGGAAUAUUGCACAAUGGGCGCAAGCCUGAUGCAGCGACGCCGCGUGAGGGAUGACGGCCUUCGGGUUGUAAACCUCUUUCAGCACAGACGAAGCGCGAGUGACGGUAUGUGCAGAAGAAGGACCGGCCAACUACGUGCCAGCAGCCGCGGUAAUACGUAGGGUCCGAGCGUUGUCCGGAAUUACUGGGCGUAAAGAGCUCGUAGGUGGUUUGUCGCGUUGUUCGUGAAAACUCACAGCUUAACUGUGGGCGUGCGGGCGAUACGGGCAGACUUGAGUACUGCAGGGGAGACUGGAAUUCCUGGUGUAGCGGUGGAAUGCGCAGAUAUCAGGAGGAACACCGGUGGCGAAGGCGGGUCUCUGGGCAGUAACUGACGCUGAGGAGCGAAAGCGUGGGGAGCGAAUGGGAUUAGAUACCCCGGUAGUCC